CUCGAGUGGCGAACGGGUGAGUAACACGUGGGUGAUCUGCCCUGCACUUCGGGAUAAGCCUGGGAAACUGGGUCUAAUACCGGAUAGGAGCCAUUUUUAGUGUGAUGGUUGGAAAGUUUUUUCGGUGUAGGAUGAGCUCGCGGCCUAUCAGCUUGUUGGUGGGGUAAUGGCCUACCAAGGCGGCGACGGGUAGCCGGCCUGAGAGGGUGGACGGCCACAUUGGGACUGAGAUACGGCCCAGACUCCUACGGGAGGCAGCAGUGGGGAAUAUUGCACAAUGGGCGCAAGCCUGAUGCAGCGACGCCGCGUGGGGGAUGACGGCCUUCGGGUUGUAAACUCCUUUCGCUAGGGACGAAGCUUUUUGUGACGGUACCUAGAUAAGAAGCACCGGCUAACUACGUGCCAGCAGCCGCGGUAAUACGUAGGGUGCGAGCGUUGUCCGGAAUUACUGGGCGUAAAGGGCUCGUAGGUGGUUUGUCGCGUCGUCUGUGAAAUUCCGGGGCUUAACUCCGGGCGUGCAGGCGAUACGGGCAUAACUUGAGUACUGUAGGGGUAACUGGAAUUCCUGGUGUAGCGGUGAAAUGCGCAGAUAUCAGGAGGAACACCGAUGGCGAAGGC
Molecule: ribosomal RNA, 618 nt
Filed under: uncultured Actinomycetes bacterium
Lineage: Bacteria; Bacillati; Actinomycetota; Actinomycetes
Description: bacterial SSU rRNA
Rfam family: Bacterial small subunit ribosomal RNA
Source: RNAcentral